GCUUACAGCCAUACAACUCUGACAAAGGCCGAGCUCAUCUGAUCUCGGAAGCAAAGCAAAGUUGGGCCAGGUUAGUACUUGUUUGGGAGGCUGAUUGGGAAUACUAGGUGCUGUAAGCU
Molecule: ribosomal RNA, 119 nt
Organism: Ictalurus punctatus (channel catfish)
Lineage: Eukaryota; Metazoa; Chordata; Actinopteri; Siluriformes; Ictaluridae
Source: Ensembl